UAGGAUUGCAAACUAAAGCCAAAACCAAGGAAUCUGAAUUUGAAAAACCAAUAAAUUCAGCAUCAGCAGGUGUGUAGAUGUGACUGGAGCUUACAGUGCUCUAAAGACGGAGCUUAACAUAAGCUUGACAGCAAUAGGCCUUUUGUGGACUACAACUGGCUUUAUUGCAAAGAGGAUUACACAUGGACCUGUGGAAGAAAGGGAAACAAGAAAGGGAAACAGGUAUAUGACAAGUGCACAACAAAUGGACUCACAACAAAGACAUGUGCACAAAGGAUGAUGAAUUGAAGGAUGGAGCAAGUUUCAUGCAUGGUUUACUUUUGUGUACCUUGUAAUUUUUUUGUUUUUCAUUUUUGAAGUAAAAAAUUUUCAAGAUUAUAAAACUUUAUUAUGUUAUGCUUUCAAACUUAAGUUAGAACUAAGAUCUCAUGAAAUAGACACAUUCAGAGUUUGAAUUAGUUAUUGUUUAAUGUAAUACUUAUGGUUUAUCAAUCUAUUGAGAAUUAUAUUUUAUGAUUAA
Humulus lupulus (European hop) is the source of this 520-nucleotide long non-coding RNA. RefSeq lists it as uncharacterized. The transcript is spliced from 2 exons. The record is from RefSeq and is a predicted model, not a curated record. Lineage: Eukaryota; Viridiplantae; Streptophyta; Magnoliopsida; Rosales; Cannabaceae.